This 259-nucleotide ribosomal RNA is filed under the name uncultured archaeon. RNAcentral's name for it is "partial 16S ribosomal RNA". It matches the Rfam family "Archaeal small subunit ribosomal RNA", at positions 748 to 1009 of the family's 1478-position model. The record is from RNAcentral.
CAGCCGUAAACUAUGCUCGCUAGGUGUCAGGCAUGGCGCGACCGUGUCUGGUGCCGCAGGGAAGCCGUGAAGCGAGCCACCUGGGAAGUACGGCCGCAAGGCUGAAACUUAAGGAUUGGCGGGGGAGCACAACAACGGGUGGAGCCUGCGGUUUAAUUGGACUCAACGCCGGACAACUCACCGGGGACGACAGCAAUAUGUAGGCCAGGCUGAAGACCUUGCCUGAAUCGCUGAGAGGAGGUGCAUGGCGUAGACGUCU